RNAcentral lists this long non-coding RNA (962 nucleotides) under Mytilus galloprovincialis (Mediterranean mussel). Lineage: Eukaryota; Metazoa; Mollusca; Bivalvia; Mytilida; Mytilidae. The record is from RNAcentral.
GCGGCCUAAGAAUCAUCACCGGUGCUCGAAUAAACCAUUUGGAAGGCUUGAAUCAUAAAUAAAGUUGACUCGGUAAUACCAGCACAGUAAACCAAAUUUCGGAGUAGUGUCAAAUAGGAAUAAGGUUAUCCAUGCCUUCAUUGGUUUAGGAAAACCUGAGCUUUUCGAUGAGAUUUUUAGUUUGCAUGUUGCAUGAACAGUCAAUUUAGAGUGAAUAAAAAUAUGAUAAGUAUUUCACAAAGGUGCGGACUACUUAUUAGAUGAUUACUCUUGUGGACGAUACGUCCACCAACAGUGAUUGCAAAAACUCGUUUUAGAUAUCAGGCUUAUAAUUUUGGUACAUUAAGGCAACAGCGGUAUGCCUCUGUUCGAAAGCUAUUAUAUACAUUUUUAAACUAACGGCGGCAUUAGCUUACAAAACGCAGGUUAGAAUUAUGGAUUUAUCGAAGCAAUGAGUUGUGUUUAUCACACAAAAAGGCAUAAUAAAGUAUAUUAAGGUGAAGAACGCCAAGUACUCAAAAUUCCAAAAGGGCUUUGUCAAAUACAGUUAAUUUAAAGGUAAUAUAUUCCUGUGGUAUAAAAUCCUAAGGAGCCGCCGUGGUGUAGUGGUUAGUGCAUCGGACUACUAACACAAAGGUUCCUGGUUCGAUUUCCGUCUUGGAUGAAAAUUUCAGGGACUGAAUUUUCGGCGCUCCUUUGACACCAUUUGCGAGUAUGGUCUUGUGGAAACGAUGCUAGUCCGUCGGAAGGGGACGAUAAAUUGCUGACCGGUGUUAAGAGAGAGCCAUAUCUCUUGCACGUUAAAGACACCUUUGUUGAUUUCGACAAAGAGCAGGCUAAUGCCGCUACAAGGCAGCACUCGCACCCGCAAAGUGGAAAGGGAUUAAUAUAAGUUGCAAAACUUGUUUCCCAAUCCACUAUAAUUAAAUAUGUUUAAACUAAAUCCUAAGUAUUUAAAAAAA